Molecule: small nucleolar RNA, 99 nt
Organism: Drosophila melanogaster (fruit fly)
Lineage: Eukaryota; Metazoa; Arthropoda; Insecta; Diptera; Drosophilidae
Source: Ensembl
AAUUCAAUGAUUUCAACUUCACUGCUGACCAGCCACGCCUCAACGCCUCGGAGUGUUUGCCCCCAGUCUCUGAUAGAUACACCAUAUUCUAAUACACAC